This 375-nucleotide ribosomal RNA is filed under the name uncultured soil bacterium. Its description in RNAcentral is "bacterial SSU rRNA". It matches the Rfam family "Bacterial small subunit ribosomal RNA", at positions 26 to 402 of the family's 1533-position model. The record is from RNAcentral.
AGAUUGAACGCUGGCGGCAGGCCUAACACAUGCAAGUCGAACGGCAGCGCGGACUUCGGUCUGGCGGCGAGUGGCGAACGGGUGAGUAAUAUAUCGGAACGUGCCCAGUAGCGGGGGAUAACUACGCGAAAGCGUGGCUAAUACCGCAUACGCCCUACGGGGGAAAGGGGGGAUCGCAAGACCUCUCACUAUUGGAGCGGCCGAUAUCAGAUUAGCUAGUUGGUGAGUAAAGGCUCACCAAGGCGACGAUCUGUAGCUGGUUUGAGAGGACGACCAGCCACACUGGGACUGAGACACGGCCCAGACCUCCGUACGGGAGCAGCAGUGGGGAAUUUGGACAAGUGGGCGACAAGCCUGACUCCAGCCAUACCGCGU